AGGAAGGAGGGCGCUACCGCCAUGGUGGCGGCAGGGCUUCCGCCUGCGGAGGUCAUUGCGCGGGAAGAGCCGCGUUUUGUGGUGCUUGGCUGAGGCGGGAAGUCAGGAAGACGGACCCGUGUGGCCCAGGGCAGCGAGCGGGGCCUCGCACCGUCUUUGGGUCCCUCGGCGGCAGGGCCCACCUCCAGGGUUAGUGUCUUCCGCCUCCUGACGCUCCUCGCCCGGCUCGUCUGCCUGGGCUUCACAAGCAUCAGGAAGAUCCAUGGCUUGUUUUAGCCUUUUAAACCUAAAAAACCCAGCCCUGCCAUGGUGGGGGUGGAAGAACGCAUGAACAAGAGUCAUGUCUGUGGCGCUGCUUGUACCCGAAGGGUGCGCAUCCCAUGGAGACAAGGGCAGGGGCUUGGGGGUCUUCUGCCUGCACCACCCUAGAGACACCUGUGAAACUUUGAGGGUUGCCUGCAUGAAGUCAUGCAAACAGCCCCAGUGCUGAUGUUUGUCAGGGGAAAGAGCAGGUGCAAAGCUCAAGGCUGAGAUACUACACACGUAGCUGGUCUAUGAAAAUUCUUGACAUGGUUAUUUGCACACUUGUCUGGUAGCCCUGUUUGCUGAAGCUGUUCUUCUAAAAGCUAUUUUUGUGCCUGUUUUGUCACCCUUGGCGGUCUUUCUUUAGUUUUCUCUCGAGCUUGUUCUUGAUCAGUGCAGGACGGGUGCUUCAGCAGUAAUGUGGGGGUGCCUGCUUGCAACAUUCCCUACGCUUCCCUUGUUCCUACAAAUAGGCUGGGUAUAAACAUGGCCGUAACAGGGAGGGAUGCACAAUGCUGUGUGGUGGGACUUGGAUAGCUGCCUUCUUUGGGGAUCGUUUGAAAAUCCCUGCCAAAAUCUUCUGUUUCCUUCAGAUUUCUCUGCUUAAAGCAUUUAACUGCUGUGAUACAAACCUUUUCCAUGUGAGCUGUCCAAGUCUGCUCGGAGGAAAACAGUCUUCUCUCCUUAUCUCACCGGUAUCUGUGGGAAGGAAGACUGAGGUACAGCAACUUUGGAAAACAAAUAUAGGACACUUGAGGGCAGAACGGCUUCAAAAUGUAAAUGGAAAGCAGAUUCAUAAGCUGAAAUCCAGAAAUCUUGGAUUUCUUUAUGAAGUAUUUUGGGACUUGUGGCUCUUGAAAAGCACAGUAAAAUAAACAGUGGAUUAAAUGAAGCAAAGCCAUGCAAUUCUACUUGAGGGAGCUCCAAAGUGGAACAAAUAGAGUGUUUUUUGGCACCUCUA
This is a long non-coding RNA of Neopsephotus bourkii (Bourke's parrot), 1264 nucleotides long. RefSeq lists it as uncharacterized. NCBI's taxonomy places the organism in Eukaryota, Metazoa, Chordata, Aves, Psittaciformes, Psittacidae. The record is from RefSeq and is a predicted model, not a curated record. The transcript has 2 exons.